Crotalus tigris (Tiger rattlesnake) is the source of this 2618-nucleotide long non-coding RNA. RefSeq lists it as uncharacterized. The record is from RefSeq and is a predicted model, not a curated record. Lineage: Eukaryota; Metazoa; Chordata; Lepidosauria; Squamata; Viperidae. The transcript has 3 exons.
UCUUUUCAUUUCAGGUGCUGCCAGUCAUAGACAUCACUGCCAAUGCAGCCAUUACCUUGCAGGCAAUACUAGCUGGUAAUGGAUAGCAUGAUUAACCACCUGCUUCGCCCUGUAUCCUUCUUCCAAGCAAAAACUUUAAUUAAAAGCGAUUAUAACUUUGAAUUUAGAAAGUUAAAAAAGGGAUUAGGGUUCCUGAUAAAUUUGAAACAAGGUUCUGUAAUUCAUUAUAAAUAAUCCUUCCUGUGAGAACAUGUUCUUUUUUAAUUCUUUUAUAAAACACAAAGUAAGACAAGACUAAAAAAUGGACCUUAGAAAAAACUAUAAACAACUAAAAAUUACAAUUAAAGAAGAACAUUCAAACUUGACUUAUGAAUACAGAAUGAAGCAACUAUUUUAACAUUGGACAUACUGAAGAAUGUUAAAAUGUUUUUGAACAAUGGUUCCAUAAGUUAGUUUUAAGAGUUUAUGCCUCUACAGAAAAACUAUGUGUAAAAGAUGCUAUGGAAGAAGAACACGUUUUAGUAGACAUAAUUGAGAUUGAUCUAAAAGUGGAUUUAAAAAUGAUAGGCUGCAAAAAUGACAUGGAGACAGAUGUUACACUGGACAUAUAAAAGAAAUGGGCUGAUCUCUUAAUUAAAAGGGAUAUACAAAUAACACACCAAGAGACUGACCUGGAUACUUUUUUAAUACUGUGUUUAGAAAACAGGUUUAUUAAAACUUUUAAGAAUUUUGUGAGAAGAAACAAAAAAAAAUGGAAAAGAAAUUAAGUUCUAGCACUUUAUUUGACAGGUCUAAAGAUCAAGAUUGUUAGAAGUAAAAGGAAGGAAUAUAAACUUAUUUUACUUGAUCAAGGUCAAAAUAGAUAUGCUGUUAUUUCUGUUAACAUUUUAUGGAAUUUUGCUGACAUCAGGACUAAAAUGAUGAGGCUUUGUGGAUUUGUUUAUAGAUACGAUAUGGGAUAUGAUAGGAUGAGAUCAUUGGCUAUAUUUUAAGAGAAGUUGAUAUUGUACUAAAAUUGUUUAUAUUUGUUAUGAUGAAGGAGAAUAUAUAUAUUUAUAUAUUUUGCCUUUUUCUUUGCUAUAUUCUUAUUUCUUUUCUUUCCAGGAGUUAGUUAAAAUGGGGCUUUCUUGAAAAAUAUUUGGAGGGAAGGCAUUUUCAGAUUCUUACUGCUCUAUACUUAUUGGAUUUUUAAACACUAUUGUUGACCACUGAAAGUCCUUGAAAAUUAUGACCCCAUACAAUUCAAGCCAUUUAAUUAACUGGAGGAGGGAUUCCAUAAAUGGAAUAAAAGCACUGAAAAACUCCACAAUAAUUUUAUUACUUGUCGUACAUAAGGCAGAAGCACCAGAAAAAAAGUCCAAAGAUAAUCAAAACAUACAGGCAAGUUGAUAUAUAUUUUUUUUCAAAUAUUUAGAGACCGUAAACUGUUCUGGGCUUGAUAUUUAAUUCCAGCAAUUCAAAUGGUGUUUGAUCACAGAGAAGAGCGCCUGAGGUUUUUUUUUUUUUUUAAACUAUAUCAGUGAGAUUAUGUUCCUGUUGUUCUAAAUGAAAAAUUGUUUUAGUUUACAAAUGGAGUUCAAACAUUUUUUACCCAGAUCUUUUAAAUGAUUAUUUAAAGGAGGUUUUGUUUUUUUUAAUGGUGUUGCUUUGCCUUUUGGAUGUUUGUAUGCUACCAAAAUCACAAAUGUGAUUGGAUGCCUGCAUCCACACAUCUGAGGUUUCUGAACAGACCUCAAAGGCUCAAUUUUUGAUUAGAAAUAUUGGGUAAAAAUUAUUUCCUUUUCCCCUCCUAAUAUUGUUUUUAAAUGUUGAAAUGUUGUUAUGUGUCUUACAGGAUAAAAAUUACAUCAUGGCUUGCUUGGUUGUACAAUCUGGCUCAGUGUAUCUUUGCUGCCAUCUUGAGGACAUGAUUUUUUGGCCAAUGUGCAUGGACUUUUACUUACUCACACAUGUCGGAGCGAAUGGCGUCCACUUCUUGUUAACAUGACAGAUCCUUCGAGUUGGCCCCUGUAACUCAUAUCCCCGAUUACAACUGUAGAAAACUUCAUCUCCAAGUAAGAAGUCUUUGCCAACAACAGAUCCAUUAUCUAUUGGUUCGGGGGAACCACAGGAUAUUUCUGAAGGUAUGUUCUGCAUCACCCUAUCAAACAAGAGAAUGGUUCAGAAAACACCAUGAUAUAUCCAUCAUAUUGUCAUACUCUCACAAUCUUUAAAAAAACAGAUAUGCCUUUGCUUUACAUUCUGCAUGAUUUAAUAAAGACAAGAAGCUAAUAUUUGAUAACAGAAUGUCCAUUUUUCUCUUAGGUAUUAUAUAGCAGUAACUUGGGCUUCUACAAGGCUUGAUCUUUUCUCUCCUGAAUCCAUCAUAAUAAAUAAAAAGCAGAUUUAAAGAAUAUACAAGCUAAACCUUUGUUAUUUUAUUGAAGCAUUGGGGGCAGGAUUUUUCAUUUUCAGAAAACAAUGUCCCUACUCCAUUGCUAUAUUACUUUUGUUUUUGUUUUUUUUAAAAAAACCCACCAUACUGCAACAAUAAUUUUAUUACUCUUUUUUCCCUUGAUACGAGUCACCACUUUGUAGGUCCUUGGAUAAAAAUGUGAGGAAAACAUUGCAAUAAAUUA